This is a non-coding RNA of Drosophila mojavensis, 44 nucleotides long. The record is from Rfam. NCBI's taxonomy places the organism in Eukaryota, Metazoa, Arthropoda, Insecta, Diptera, Drosophilidae.
UCAAAGGCCUUUUCAGGCCAUAAAUAUUAUAAUUUACGAGAUCU